Molecule: non-coding RNA, 2722 nt
Organism: Labrus bergylta (ballan wrasse)
Lineage: Eukaryota; Metazoa; Chordata; Actinopteri; Labriformes; Labridae
Source: RefSeq, a predicted model, not a curated record
GGAUUUUGAAGGUGUGGCAGCUGAUGGACCGAAGUGAUGGGCGGAGUCUUCCUUACAUGAGGAUCAAUCCUGUGAGUGACAUGAAACCCAGGAGAGCCUCUCCCCAGGGAUCCACGGUGACUAACUGCGGCGGUGGCAGCAGCCCGGCAGAGGCCAAAAAUCCCGACAGUGUGGACCUGGAGCCUUUUCACAGCGUUCAAAAGCAGACAUGAGGCCGAGGUGAGAGAGCAGGAGCGAGGGAGGAAGAGGACAGAUAACGAUGCAGCUGUCACACUCCUGAAGCGUUUCUCUGUUCACCUCCAGACCCCGCCGGUGCGAUCCCUGUGACCUCCAUCACUUCAGAAAAAACAGAUGUAAACCUCAUCCCCGCCCCGUCCGUGUCUGGCGGACACACCGAAGCUUCACCGCCGACUCAGAGGGUCCCUCAGCGACACAUGUCCUGAUUUCUGGUGACAUCAGAGUCAGUCCUCAGUCACUCUGAUCCCGUCAAGGAGGCGGCUGAGAUGAACCGAUGGCGGAUGGCCUAUUUAUACCCCAGUCACCUGAUCUCUCACUCCCCCACAGGCCAGGAAUAUUAAAUUGACAGCAGCAUAUUCUGAAAUGUGUGAUUGCCCCCGAGGCUGCAGAUACUCAGGGUUAUCUGCUCUGUAUUUUUAACUUACCUUGAUAAACACAUGAGGACUCUUCUGUUGAGGGUCACAUUCUUUCUGGGGUCACCUCAGCUUAAUAUGCCCGUUUUUUAAAAGGCCUUUCAAAAAUCUACAUUCAAUGGAAAGAGAGAUACUAUUUCUAUCCAUAAAUUAAAUCCCUCAGUCAUCCUCCAACAGGUUUUCAGCCAUCCUCACAUUGAUUCCUUCAUCUUCCUUCCCGUUUUUUGAGAGUGUAAUUUUGAGUUUAUUGGAAUUAGCUUGUGAAUGUGUUUUUAUGCUAAGCUAAUCAGUACUGUGGUCAGAUUGCAACGUCCCCUUGCUUCCUUUGUAAUUCACCAUGUUUGACACCGCUCACACAGAACGUCAUAAAGUCAUCCUCAAACUGAUGACAGGAUGAUGCUGAAGAUCAAGGCCUGAGCUUUCUGUCGCAAAAAGAAUGAAAACUCUCACCGCCAUAGUUUGAAUUCUCAUCAAUUUAAACAAACUCACGAGGUCCACAUUUGAGGGGUUAAAAGCUUCUUUUUUUAGAUUUCUUUUUCAUCCAUUCAUUCAUUUGUAAAACACAAAUCACUGCUUCAUUCAUCACCAUGAGAUGUUACCUUCUGUUGUUUCUUCAAAGCCUCCUAUCGCACUCCCUUUUCCAUUUUUUUUUCACUCGUCUACAAACACUCAUCCUCUAAUCAGCGUCCCCUUCCUCCUCAGAAUAUUACUCAUGUAUUUAUUCAUCCAUCCAUCUAUUUUCCUUGAGCAGUGGGUGGUUUUCAGGAAGCCCUGCAGCCUUGGAUCCUUCCCUCCAAACACACGCGAGGUGUUGACCGACGUUGGACAGAUCGGGCCGGGCAUCGGAGAAACUGAAUUGCCACAAUCACAUUUUACUUGGCCCCCUUAUCUGCGUGUUUGACAUUUCGUCUCAGCGGCCCGACAACCAAAAGUGUAGGUCGAGCUGAAACCGCGAGCUGUCAAAACUCGCCGCGCGGCCCGUGCCAUGUUAAACAUCCAACAUCUGCGUCCACCGUAAACACUGGACCCCCCUCAUAAUGGGCUCCACAUGUGGGCCCGUUGUGGCUGCACGUGCUCCCGUCCUGCGUCUGGACGAAAGGGAAACUGUCAGCCCCGUUGUGUGAAACGGAUACAGCUUCAGGAUUACAAUGCGAUAUAAAACAUUUGAUCUCCAGCUCUCCUCCAAUUAUAAUUAAGGCAGGUUCAAACAGGCGUCCUUACGUUUGAUCUCCACGCCAUCCUGAUACUGAGCCUACGAUGGGACAUUUAUUUAAUAACAGCUGCACCGCAAAAACCUCCAGCAGCUGGCAGUUAAAAGAAAACCCCUCCCUUGGAUACAGUUUCUCCUUGAUAUCAUCAAUCUGUGAUUUCUAUGCAUUCCAGGAGUUAUUCUGUGAUGAAGAGGUUUAACUUACGUUUCUAGUGAACCCCGCUCUCCCCUCCAAACGGCCUCGUCUAAUUCGACUUCACUUACUUCUCCUCUCACUCCCCCAGAAUAACUUGUGACAGCCUCCAAAGAUGGGGUGUGACCCUGUUGCUCGGAUGCAGCGAGCCAGCCAAGUGGUUCAUGGAUUUGAGCCACAAAAUGUGCAGUCGUUAAAAGUCCUUCAUCCUCCGAGCUGAGUCUUUGCUGUGGUUGCGUUGGAUUCUGGUUCGUGGUAUUUCCUGCUCCUCUGGAUGCAGAGCCACAUAACUCCCCCUCCUUUACUGCAGUCUCUCUUUUUGUCUUUGUGCAUCAUUCUUGAAAACUUAAAUCGAAGAAGUUGUUUGUUUUAUUGUCUCUGCAACUGAAACCAAUGAUGGACUUUUAUUGGCAACACUCAAACUCUAUUGUUGCUGCUAGAAAGAGAAAAACACAACUUUUUACCAGCCAGUCAUGCAUGAGAAGAUUUACUAACUACAAUGACUCCAGAAGUGACAGACACGUAGAUUUAGGAUGGACUUCCCCUGUUUGAAAAGGGCAAAGUGCCAUCUGAAAUAAAUCACAUUCAGGUGACCUUUAAUGUAAAAAAUGUUUGGUCAUAUACACACUUCUUUUCCUAGCAGGGAUCUUUAAAAUCUUUCUUCAUUCA